GAAGCCAGAGCCGACCACCAAUGUUGAUUAAACCACCGAUGUCAGAAACAUAGCCGGAUGAAUAUGCAAACGAAGGCAUCUACACCGGAAGCAAAGCCAAUCUAUAUAUACCGUUGAGAAAGCUGGUACAACCAAACGACAAACCCACCUCAAAUGAGAUAAAAGUCAACGAAAAAAUACAUCAGAGAAAUCUGAGAGAAUGAAAAAUGAAAGAGAGAAGAGAGAGAAACCUUAG
Long non-coding RNA from Arabidopsis thaliana (thale cress), 235 nucleotides. RefSeq annotates it as other RNA. Lineage: Eukaryota; Viridiplantae; Streptophyta; Magnoliopsida; Brassicales; Brassicaceae. The record is from RefSeq. The transcript has a single exon.